GACUAUUAUCUGAAUGGUGGCCGAUUGGGAAAGGGGGAGAUGCAGCGAGACCUGGGUGUCAUGGUACACCGGUCAUUGAAAGUAGGCAUGCAGGUGCAGCAGGCAGUGAAGAAAGCAAAUGGUAUGUUAGCAUUCAUAGCAAAAGGAUUUGAGUAUAGGAGCAGGGAGGUUCUACUGCAGUUGUACAGGGUCUUGGUGAGACCACACCUGGAGUAUUGUGUGCAGUUUUGGCAUGUUGGCCUUCAUAACAAGAGGAGUUGAGUAUACGAGCAAAGAGGUCCUUCUGCAGUUGUACAGGGUCUUGGUGAGACCACAUCUGGAGUAUUGCGUACAGUUUUGGUCUCCUAAUCUGAGGAAAGACAUUCUUGCCAUAGAGGGAGUGCAGAGAAGGUUCACCAGACUGAUUCCUGGGAUGUCAGGACUUUCAUAUGAAGAAAGACUGGAUAGACUCGGCUUGUACUCGCUAGAAUUUAGAAGAUCGAGGGGGGGGGAUCUUAUAGAAACGUACACAAUCCUCAAGGGGUUGGACAGGCUAGAUGCAGGAAGAUUGUUCCCGAUGUUGGGGAAGUCCAGAACAAGGGGCCACACACACAGUUUAAGGAUAAGGGGGAAAUCUUUUAGGACCGAGAUGAGAAAAACAUUUUUUUCACACACACACAGAGUGGUGAAUCUGUGUAAUUCUCUGCCACAGAAGGUAGUUGAGGCCACACAGUUCAUUGGCUAUAUUUAAGAGGGAGUUAGAUGUGGCCCUUGUGGCUAAAGGGAUCAGGGGGUAUGGAGAGAAGGCAGGUAUGGGAUACUGAGUUGGAUGAUCAGCCGUGAUCAUAUUGAAUGGCGAAUGGUGCAGGCUCGAAGGGCUGAAUGGCCUCUACUCCUGCACCUAUGGUCUAUUUUCUAUGAGAGAAGGCAGGGAUGGGAUACUGAGUUGGAUGAUCAACCGUGAUCAUAUUGAAUGGCGAAUGGUGUAGGCUCGAAGGGCCGAAUGGCCUCUACUCCUACACCUAUCAUCUAUGUUUCUCUAAUGUCAUGUUAGCAGGAAAAAAAUCAGACUUUGGAAAAUUGAAUUUGUUGCUUAAUUGUUCAAAUUACAGUGUUACCCAUAAACAGGUUCUUGAAGGGCACAAAACCCUACCUAUGCCAUUCUUUAAAGGCAGGGUCCUGAGUUGGUGUUUUUAAAAGGUGGUCUGAUGCAAUAGGGCUCAGGAGAGAAAAGUAACGCAACUCAAACAUUUCCUGAAUUGAACCCAUAUCAAUAAUGUUGGAGUAUUAAUUAUUAAUGCCUUAUGUGUCAAUCGAAACUGUCACUGUAGGAGUCCCUUGCAUGAAGCACAUUGGGAUCUGGGGGGUCCUUGUUCAUCAGUCUAUGAAAGUAAGCAUGCAGGUACAGCAGGCAGUGACGAAAGCCAAUGGCCUGUUGGCCUUCAUAACAAGAGGAGUUGAGUACAGGAGCAAAGAGGUCCUUCUGCAGUUGUACAGGGCCCUGGUGAGACCACACCUGGAGUAUUGUGUGCAGUUUUGGCCUUCAUAACAAGAGGAGUUGAGUCUAGGAGCAAAGAGGUCCUUCUGCAGUUGUACAGGGCCCUGGUGAGACCACACCUGGAGUAUUGUGUGCAGUUUUGGCCUUCACAACAAGAGGAGUUGAGUAUAGGAGCAAAGAGGUCCUACUGCAGUUCUACAGGGCCCUGGUGAGACCACAACUGGAGUAUUGUGUGCAGUUUUGGCCUGUUGGCCUUCAUAACAAGAGGAGUUGAGUAUAGGAGCAAAGAGGUCCUUCUGCAGUUGUACAGGGCCCUGGUGAGACCACACCUGGAGUAUUGUGUGCAGUUUUGGCCUUCAUAACAAGAGGAGUUGAGUACAGGAGCAAAGAGGUCCUUCUGCAGUUGUACAGGGCCCUGGUGAGACCACACCUGGAGUAUUGUGUGCAGUUUUGGCCUUCAUAACAAGAGGAGUUGAGUAUAGGAGCAAAGAGGUCCUUCUGCAGUUGUACAGGGCCCUGGUGAGACCACACCUGGAGUAUUGUGUGCAGUUUUGGCCUGUUGGCCUUCAUAACAAGAGGAGUUGAGUACAGGAGCAAAGAGGUCCUUCUGCAGUUGUACAGGGCCCUGGUGAGACCACACCUGGAGUAUUGUGUGCAGUUUUGGCCUUCAUAACAAGAGGAGUUGAGUAUAGGAGCAAAGAGGUUCUACUGCAGUUGUACAGGGCCCUGGUGAGACCACACCUGGAGUAUUGUGUGCAGUUUUGGCCUGUUGGCCUUCAUAACAAGAGGAGUUGAGUCUAGGAGCAAAGAGGUCCUUCUGCAGUUGUACAGGGCCCUGGUGAGACCACACCUGGAGUAUUGUGUACAGUUUUGGCC
Leucoraja erinaceus (little skate) is the source of this 2353-nucleotide long non-coding RNA. RefSeq lists it as uncharacterized. The transcript is spliced from 3 exons. NCBI's taxonomy places the organism in Eukaryota, Metazoa, Chordata, Chondrichthyes, Rajiformes, Rajidae. The record is from RefSeq and is a predicted model, not a curated record.